GCAACGAUGAAGCAAAGGAAACC
RNAcentral lists this non-coding RNA (23 nucleotides) under Cricetulus griseus (Chinese hamster). The record is from RNAcentral. Lineage: Eukaryota; Metazoa; Chordata; Mammalia; Rodentia; Cricetidae.